RNAcentral lists this transfer RNA (71 nucleotides) under Cavia porcellus (domestic guinea pig). It matches the Rfam family "tRNA". From Rfam's summary of the family: Transfer RNA (tRNA) molecules are approximately 80 nucleotides in length. Their secondary structure includes four short double-helical elements and three loops (D, anti-codon, and T loops). The record is from Rfam by way of RNAcentral. Lineage: Eukaryota; Metazoa; Chordata; Mammalia; Rodentia; Caviidae.
GCAGUGGUAGCUCAGUGGUAGGGCACUUGUUUAGCAUGUAUGAGGCCCUGAGUUCUAUCCCCAGCAAUGCA